GUAGUCUGCAACCCGACUACAUGAAGCUGGAAUCGCUAGUAAUCGCGGAUCAGAAUGCCGCGGUGAAUACGUUCCCGGGUCUUGUACACACCGCCCGUCACACCAUGGGAGUCGGAAAUGCCCGAAGUCUGUGACCCAACCUGAGAGGGAGGGAGCAGCCGAAGGCAGGUCUGAUGACUGGGGUGAAGUCGUAACAAGGUAAC
RNAcentral lists this ribosomal RNA (203 nucleotides) under uncultured bacterium. RNAcentral describes it as "partial 16S ribosomal RNA". It matches the Rfam family "Bacterial small subunit ribosomal RNA", at positions 1300 to 1500 of the family's 1533-position model. The record is from RNAcentral.